Non-coding RNA from Aedes albopictus (Asian tiger mosquito), 58 nucleotides. Lineage: Eukaryota; Metazoa; Arthropoda; Insecta; Diptera; Culicidae. The record is from Rfam.
UAGCCUAGUGGUUAAGGCUAUGGAUCGCCAAUCCGGAGAAGGCGGGUUCGAUUCCCGU